This 490-nucleotide ribosomal RNA is filed under the name uncultured bacterium. RNAcentral's name for it is "partial 16S ribosomal RNA". It matches the Rfam family "Bacterial small subunit ribosomal RNA", at positions 30 to 507 of the family's 1533-position model. The record is from RNAcentral.
AUUGAACGCUGGCGGCAGGCCUAACACAUGCAAGUCGAACGGCAACAGGGAGAGGGCUUCUUCUUUCCUGUGGCGUGGGGGGGGCGUGAGAAAUGUCUAUGGAACUGUCUGAUGGAGGGGGGUAACUAGUGGAAACGGUAACUAAAACCGCAUAAAGUCCCAACAGCAAAAAGCAGGAGCUCCUGGCCUCUUGCCAUCGUGUAUGCCCAGAUGGGAUUUGCGAGUGGGUGGGGUAACGGCUCACCCAGGCGACGAGCCCUAGCUGGUCUGAGAGGAUGAUCAGCCACACUGGAACUGAGACACGGUCCAGACUCCUACGGGAGGCAGCAGUGGGGAAUAUUGGACAAUGGGCGCAAGCCUGAUGCAGCCAUGCCGCGUGUGUGAAGAAGGCCUUCGGGUUGUAAAGCACUUUUGGUGGGGAGGAAGGGAAGAAAGUUAAUACCUUGCUGUAUUGACGUUACCCAAAGAAUAAGCACCGGCUAACUUCGUG